AAUUUCCCAUGAACACUCCAAAAUGGUCGCCUUACCGACCGGCAGCAGAGAAGUGCAAACAGCCAUGAAGCGCCAUGGCGAGCGUGAUGGCGCUCUCACCGAGGCAGCGUGUCGCUGUACGGGUCCCUGCGUGCGAGGAGACACAGUUUAGGCUGACCACCUCAUCACCACUUCAAGAUGGCGGCCCAAUUUCUCGCGUCACAGCAGCCAAUGCUGCGUCUAUGGGAGUACGCCUAAAAUGGCAGGCGCUAGGACCCCGCGGACGCCUCCUCCAUGCAGCAGCAGCAGUGAAAGGGACCAGAAAUCCGCCGCUCGCCGCGAGAGGAGAUCGAAAUGAUGCUGCCGUCAAAAAAGGAUUAAAAACCCGGAGCAUCAACCCGCCGCCGCCGCCGGUGGAAACAUACAUCCGGAGGAGGAGGGGGGGGGGAGACAUGCCGUCGCAGAGCAUCCGUCGCGACGCCUGACUCGACCCCCACCAUGAUGAAGACAGAAGCCACCACCAAGAGCUCCACUCUCAGGAGCGCCUCCCCGCACAGGAGCGCCUACGAGGCGGGGAUGCAGGCCCUCAAGCCCGUGGCGGACAGCGCCGCCGCCAACGGGGACGUGCGGCAGGACGGCCCCCGCGGGCGCCGCUACGGAUCCAACGUGCACCGCAUCAAGAACAUGUUCCAGCAGCUGCAGACCACUGGCGACGCCGAGGCCGAGGAGGACGCCAGGGAGGGCGACAAAGCCGUGCGUCUCUCCCUGCCCAGGGCCGGCAGCCUGAACGAGAACGUGGACCACAGCGCCCUCCUCAAGCUGGGCUCCACCGUCUCCGAGCGGGUCAGCAAGUUCGACACCAAGCCCGAGAACGGGCACCAGCGGGCGUCCUCCAAGCUGCAGGAGACGCGGCGCAUCUUCGAGCAGGACAAGCUGGCCACCACCCGGGUCCUGCUCAAGUCCGACAAGGGCCCCGGCCUGCAGGAGGGCCGGCUGGACAUGAUGGCGCGCUUCAACGGCAGCACCGAGUCCCUGGACAGCCUGGACGCCGGCGAGGCCGUGUCCCCCACCGUCAGCCAGCUCAGCGCCGUCUUCGAGCGGGCGGCCGAGCUGCGCAACAACCUGAACCGCCUCUCGUCCACGCCGCCGCUGCCCUCCCGGGGGGUCAGCGCCAAGGUGGGCGUGCUCAACUCCAAGGUCAUCACCAAGCGGGCCCAGGGCGAGGAGAAGGACCAGGAGGCACGAGCCAGGAGCGUGAACGGCGGUCAGAAGGAGGCGGAGCGGCACGGGGCCAAGAUGGUGUCGGACGCCGGCGUGGAGGCCAAAGCGGAGCAGCUGGAGGAGGCCGGCGGCGCGGCGAGAACGGAGAACGGGGAAAGCGAGGUGCUGGGACUGGCCGGCGCGGAGGAUAGCAGGACUCUGGGAGACGACGAAGGAAGCCAGGAGGAAGACGAGGAGGACGACCGCUACGAGGCCGAGUCCAGCUGCGUGGAGAUCGCCGGGCUGCCCGCCGAGGAGGACCCGCCCCCUUCCAGGAAGAUCCGCUUCAGCUCGGAGCCCAUCAAGGUGUUCGCCACCUACCCCAACGAGGACUACGACCGGCGCAACGAGGACGUGGACCCCAUGGCGGCGUCGGCGGAGUACGAGCUGGAGAAGAGGGUGGAGAGGCUGGACCUGUUCCCUGUGGAGCUGGAGAAAGACCAGGACGGCCUGGGCAUCAGCAUCAUCGGCAUGGGCGCCGGGGCCGACAUGGGCCUGGAGAAGCUGGGCAUCUUCGUCAAGACCGUCACCGAGGGCGGGGCGGCGCAGCGCCACGGCAGGAUCCAAGUGAACGACCUCAUCGUGGAAGUGGACGGCACCAGUUUGGUGGGAGUCACGCAGACGUUUGCCGCCACCGUGCUGAGGAACACGUCAGGAACCGUCAAGUUCUUCAUCGGGCGUGAGAAGCCGGGCGAGCAGAGCGAGGUGGCCCAGCUGAUCCAGCAGACUCUGGAGCAGGAGCGCUGGCAGAGGGAGAUGCUGGAGCAGCGCUACAAUCAGUACAUGGAGGAGCAGGAGGGUGGCGAGUACGGCACAGACGAGGAGGACGAGGAGGACGAAGACGUCAGCCCGCAGUACACCGGCGCCAUCGAGGUGUUCGACCUGGCGGAGAACGAGGACCUGUCGCCCCUGGAGACGGACCCUGAGAAACUGGCCCAUAAAUACAAAGAGCUCCAAAUCAAACACGCGGUGACGCAGGCGGAGAUCCAGCAGCUGAAGAGGAAGCUGCAGCACGCCGAGCAGGAGCGUCAGCGCUGGCGGGCGGACAAGGCCCAGCUGGAGCAGACCCUGCAGGAGAACAAGGAGCGCAUGGAGAAGCUGGAGGGCUACUGGAUGGAGGCGCAGAGUCUGUGCCAGGCCGUGGACGAGCACCUGAAGGAGACCCAGGCGCAGUACCAGGCGCUGGAGCGCAAGUACGGCAAGGCCAAGCGGCUCAUCAAGGACUACCAGCAGAAGGAGGUGGACUACCUGAAGAAGGAGACGCAGCGAUGCGCGCAAGUCGGAGCCGAGGCGUCGCUCCUCCAGGAGGAGUCGGGUCAACUGCAGGAACAGGUCAGUCUCAACUUCAACACCCAACACCCGUGAAAAGGAUUGUUGUAAUGACUGAUCAAUUCAUUUCAAUCAUUGAUGAAUUGUUAUGGUGCACAUCUGUAUUGAUUGAUCAAUUCAUUGGAAUCAUUGAUGAAUUGUUAUGGUGCACAUCUGUAUUGAUUGAUCAAUUCAUGAGGGAAAAGCUAAUUAAUAUUCUGUUGCUUCAAUUAAACGUCUGAGUUGAACGAGUAUAAAUGUUUCCAAUCCUGAUGGCUGAAACAUGUUGAAUAGAAGUUCAAAGGUAAUAAAAGUCCAAGUCUAAGUAAAUUAAAAGUCAAAUAAAUUGGAAAAAAAGCUAGACAAAAAUUUAAUUAAAAAGUAAAAUAAGUUAAAUAGAUGGUCAUAUAAAAAAGGUAAAUAGAAUGUAAUAGAAGUAAAUUAAAAGGUAAGAUAAGAUGGGAAAAAAGCUAGAUAAAAGGUAAUUAAAACUAAAAUAAGUUAAACAGAAGGUAAAUAGAAUGUAAUAGAAGUAAAUUAAAGGUAAAAUAAGGUGGAAAAAAAGCUAGAUAAAAGGUAAUUAAAAAGUAAAAUAACUUAAAUAGAAGGUAAUAGAAGUUAAAUGUAAAAUAAGGUAAAUAGAAUGUAAUAUAAGUAAAUUAAAGGUAAAAUAAGGUGGAAAAAAACGAGAUAAAAGAUCAUUAAAAAGUAAAACAACUUAAAUAUAAGGUAAUAGAAGUAAAUUAAAUGUAAAAUAAGGUAAAUAGAAUCUAAUUAAGUAAAUUAAAGGUAAAAUAAGGUGGAAAAAAGCUAG
Molecule: RNA transcript, 3361 nt
Organism: Nerophis lumbriciformis (worm pipefish)
Lineage: Eukaryota; Metazoa; Chordata; Actinopteri; Syngnathiformes; Syngnathidae
Gene: ppp1r9bb
Gene name: protein phosphatase 1, regulatory subunit 9Bb
Source: RefSeq, a predicted model, not a curated record